AGUAGUGAAAGAUAAUAAGAGACAAGACGGAUGGACAACACCAACUUCUGCCAGUGAGCCCUUGCUGAACAAGUUUGGGUUCCAUACCUCUGCACACCACCUUUCUAUGAAGACUUUGGAGAAGCCAGCAACAAAUUAAGGACAUUUCAAUAAUGUACUGGCUGCAUCCUUUACAAACUCACAAUCCCUCUGUAUCUGUCUCUCAACCACUGUAUUGCCU
Long non-coding RNA from Neoarius graeffei (lesser salmon catfish), 220 nucleotides. RefSeq lists it as uncharacterized. The transcript is spliced from 3 exons. The record is from RefSeq and is a predicted model, not a curated record. Lineage: Eukaryota; Metazoa; Chordata; Actinopteri; Siluriformes; Ariidae.